AAUAAUAAAUUCAUCUGUAUACAACUUUCUCAGUCUAUCUGGCAUGAAAGUAAGGCCUACUGUGUGUGGUAUUAUGGAGACUGACCCUGCUGCAGCCAGUCUAGUACAGCAGGUCCACAGUGGGUCACAGGCUCUAAAUUCCGCACCUCCCCAUGGCCUUGAGUGCCCAGGGUCUCUUCCUGAUCUGUAUCCCUCUGUCAUAAGGCAAUCAUCAACUCUGUAUUUUUUUCUCCAUUUCUUUCAAGUUCUUUUAUUUCUUUGUGUUCAUACUCUCUGUAUGUCUCUUAUCCUCUUUGGGCCUCAGUGUAUUUCACAGUGGUUAAAAAUUUGGAUUUAAUUCUAUACAGAACUGAAAGUCAUUGAAGAGUUCGGAGCAGAUAUGCUCUGACUCAUAUUUUAAAAUCUCUCUUUGGUUGCUGUGUAAACAACAGACUGGAGAGAGGCCAAGAGCACAAGCAGAAAAACCAGCCAGGGUGCUAUUUCAGCAGUCUAGGUGGAGAGUCAUGGUGACUUGGACCCAUCCAACAGAGACGAAGACAACUAAAUGGAUUCAGGAUAUAUUCUAGAGAUAACGAGUCCUAACUCUUUGCCAAGGAUAUGGCAAAGACUCUGAUGGAAAAGGCAGUAAUGUGUACACAAAGGUGAACAUAAAUAAAUGUGUGUAUGAUAAACGCUGGGAAUGGACAUAGAAAAACGGGUAUGCAAUUGGACAGAGACGACGGGAGACAGAAGGAAAGAUACUUGCUCAGCUGUAUCUAAGUAAGUUCAUAGGAGUUUCAUGGUCUGAAAAAUCUGUGACAGUGGAAUUUCUACUAAGAAGCUUAAAAAAGUUUCACCUUCUCCUUGGACACUUCAGAAUAAGGCCUUCUUAGAAUAUAAUGCAUUAUAUCACAAAUAUACUUUUAUAUAAAAUAUUUGGGACCAAAACAAGAGUAAAGAACCAGGAUCCGAAAGGGUGAAUGCCUACUAAAUAUCUUUGAUUAUCUAAAGCUGUUUAAAAGCUAUUAGAUUGGCACCUGGAACCCCAAAAUAUCCACUUUUCACUGGGAAGGAGUGGCUGUGCCUCUUCAAUCAUCCCCUAAAUGCAAAGAAGUUUGACCCCCACGCAAUGGAUAAAAGUCACCCAAAAAAUGAACAAAAGAGGUGUUUGGAAAAACCAGAACACCAUUCAUCCCAGCUAACGACUUGUUCAUUAUGAGUGAUGAUGGAUAAAGACUUCUCAUGCUGAGAUGAAAUCAAGAUUUAUAUGCAUUGUUUCCUCUCCCAACUUGUGGGAAGAUCAUCAUCAUUUAAUUCUAUCUCUGCGGCCAGUGAUGGGCAUCCAGAGAGCUGGUUAUCAAACGGCGCAGUCAGCUGGCAAAAGCCGAAACGUGCAGUUGGCACAUCUGGACGGAGCCGCCACAGCCGAGGGUGAACAAUGACUCCUGGCAAGCAUCCAAAUUGCUUGCAGACGCUAGCAGGUCUCAUCUACAACCGCCCCUACCAGCAUCUCUCUCUCUCUCUCUUUUUUAUGAGAAUCAGAUUUUCAUUGCUCCAUUCAAUUGCUCUCCUCUGCCAUUUUUUACAGCUCUUAUCGUUCCCCUGGAAUAUGGCCUUGAGACAGCUCAUCCGUGUCCUUCACUGUGUUAUCUCUUCUAACUUUUAUUAAAACUUCAGCUUUCAUCUGAAGAUAGCUAAUUAAAUCUGGAACAGAUUAUAUGCCUCCCCUUAAAAAGAGCACAAAACUAUUUUCUUCAACCCCAGCAAUGCUUUUUUUCCUUUCCAAAAGAAUACAUAAAUCCAUUGUGGCACAAUGUAAUAUGUAUCACCAUGCUACACCUGCGGACGCUUCCGAGCGGCUGCCAUGUCUGUGCAGUCAGGAAUGAUAAGUGAACCACCCGUGAAUGUUAACGAUAGUGAUCAUUCUGAGCUUUUUCAGUCCAGCUGAGCAAUGUCCACCUAAACACUACCCCUCCUCUGCUAUAAAACAAAGUCGGAGAAGAAAAAUGUAGAAGUGGCAGAGAUCUACUCAGUAACCCAUUCAAGAAAUACGUGUGACAGAUCUAUCACAGUAAUGGAGUGAUGAUGGAGUCUCACUUUGUCGCCCAGGCUGGAGUGCAAUGGCGCG
RNAcentral lists this long non-coding RNA (2107 nucleotides) under Homo sapiens (human). Its description in RNAcentral is "HSALNT0354863". Lineage: Eukaryota; Metazoa; Chordata; Mammalia; Primates; Hominidae. The record is from RNAcentral.